GAUGAACGCUAGCUACAGGCUUAACACAUGCAAGUCGAGGGGCAGCAUGGUCUUAGCUUGCUAAGGCCGAUGGCGACCGGCGCACGGGUGAGUAACACGUAUCCAACCUGCCGUCUACUCUUGGACAGCCUUCUGAAAGGAAGAUUAAUACAAGAUGGCAUCAUGAGUUCACAUGUUCACAUGAUUAAAAGGUAUUCCGGUAGACGAUGGGGAUGCGUUCCAUUAGAUAGUAGGCGGGUAACGGCCCACCUAGUCUUCGAUGGAUAGGGGUUCUGAGAGGAAGGUCCCCCACAUUGGAACUGAGACACGGUCCAAACUCCUACGGGAGGCAGCAGUGAGGAAUAUUGGUCAAUGGGCGCAGGCCUGAACCAGCCAAGUAGCGUGAAGGAUGACUGCCCUAUGGGUUGUAAACUUCUUUUAAUAAAGGAAUAAAGUCGGGUAUGUAUACCCGUUUGCAUGUACUUUAUGAAUAAGGAUCGGCUAACU
Molecule: ribosomal RNA, 486 nt
Filed under: uncultured bacterium
Lineage: Bacteria
Description: bacterial SSU rRNA
Rfam family: Bacterial small subunit ribosomal RNA
Source: RNAcentral